CCUACGGGAGACAGCAGUGAGGAAUAUUGGUCAAUGGACGGGAGUCUGAACCAGCCAAGUAGCGUGAAGGAUGACUGCCCUAUGGGUUGUAAACUUCUUUUAUAUGGGAAUAAAAUGCUGGACGUGUGCGGUUUUGUAUGUACCUUAUGAAUAAGGAUCGGCUAACUCCGUGCCAGCAGCCGCGGUAAUACGGAGGAUCCGAGCGUUAUCCGGAUUUAUUGGGUUUAAAGGGGGCGUAGGUGGAUUGUUAAGUCAGUUGUGAAAGUGUGCGGCUCAACCGUAAAAUUGCAGUUGAACCUGGGAGUCUUGAGUACAGUAGAGGUAGGCGGAAUGCGUGGUGUAGCGGUGAAAUGCUUAGAUAUCACGAAGAACUCCGAUUGCGAAGGCAGCUCACUGGACUGCAACUGACGCUGAGGCACGAAAGUGUGGGUAUCAAACAGGAUUAGAUACCCUAGUAGUC
Molecule: ribosomal RNA, 460 nt
Filed under: uncultured bacterium
Lineage: Bacteria
Description: partial 16S ribosomal RNA
Rfam family: Bacterial small subunit ribosomal RNA
Source: RNAcentral